RNAcentral lists this ribosomal RNA (667 nucleotides) under uncultured Methylobacterium sp. RNAcentral's name for it is "bacterial SSU rRNA". It matches the Rfam family "Bacterial small subunit ribosomal RNA", at positions 88 to 794 of the family's 1533-position model. Lineage: Bacteria; Pseudomonadati; Pseudomonadota; Alphaproteobacteria; Hyphomicrobiales; Methylobacteriaceae. The record is from RNAcentral.
CGGGUCAGCGGCAGACGGGUGAGUACGCGUGGGACGUACCCUUUGGUUCGGAACAACUCCGGGAAACUGGAGCUAAUACCGGAUACGCCCUUUUGGGGAAAGAUUUAUCGCCGGAGAUCGGCCCGCGUCUGAUUAGCUUGUUGGUGAGGUAACGGCUCACCAAGGCGACGAUCAGUAGCUGGUCUGAGAGGAUGAUCAGCCACACUGGGACUGAGACACGGCCCAGACUCCUACGGGAGGCAGCAGUUGGGAAUAUUGGACAAUGGGCGCAAGCCUGAUCCAGCCAUGCCGCGUGAGUGAUGAAGGCCCUAGGGUUGUAAAGCUCUUUCACCCACGACGAUAAUGACGGUAGUGGGAGAAGAAGCCCCGGCUAACUUCGUGCCAGCAGCCGCGGUAAUACGAAGGGGGCUAGCGUUGCUCGGAAUCACUGGGCGUAAAGGGCGCGUAGGCGGCCGAUCAAGUCAGGGGUGAAAGCCUGUGGCUCAACCACAGAAUUGCCUUUGAUACUGUUUGGCUCGAGACCGGAAGAGGUUGGUGGAACUGCGAGUGUAGAGGUGAAAUUCGUAGAUAUUCGCAAGAACACCAGUGGCGAAGGCGGCCAACUGGUCCGGUUCUGACGCUGAGGCGCGAAAGCGUGGGAGCAAACAGAUUCAGAUACCCUGGUAGU